UGGCCGCCGGGUCGGUCGCCGCGGCCGCGAACGUCUCCGGGACGGUCGAGGCCGGGUUCGGUGCCGAGGCGGUCCU
This 76-nucleotide transfer RNA is filed under the name Couchioplanes azureus. Its description in RNAcentral is "Couchioplanes caeruleus subsp. azureus tRNA-Arg". Lineage: Bacteria; Bacillati; Actinomycetota; Actinomycetes; Micromonosporales; Micromonosporaceae. The record is from RNAcentral.